GUGAGGAAUUUUGGACAAUGGGCGCAAGCCUGAUCCAGCAAUGCCGCGUGCAGGAAGAAGGCCUUCGGGUUGUAAACUGCUUUUGUACGGAACGAAACGGUCCUGGCUAAUAUCCGGGGCUAAUGACGGUACCGUAAGAAUAAGCACCGGCUAACUACGUGCCAGCAGCCGCGGUAAUACGUAGGGUGCGAGCGUUAAUCGGAAUUACUGGGCGUAAAGCGUGCGCAGGCGGUGCUGUAAGACAGGCGUGAAAUCCCCGGGCUCAACCUGGGAAUUGCGAUUGUGACUGCAGUGCGGGCGUGCGGGAGAGGGGGAUGGAAUUCCGAGUGUAGCAGUGAAAUGCGUAGAUAUGCGGAGGAACACCGAUGGCGAAGGCAAUCCCCUGGGCCUGCACUGACGCUCAUGCACGAAAGCGUGGGGAGCAAACAGGAUUAGAUACCCUUGUAGUCC
Molecule: ribosomal RNA, 450 nt
Filed under: uncultured bacterium
Lineage: Bacteria
Description: partial 16S ribosomal RNA
Rfam family: Bacterial small subunit ribosomal RNA
Source: RNAcentral